Odocoileus virginianus texanus is the source of this 1062-nucleotide long non-coding RNA. RefSeq lists it as uncharacterized. NCBI's taxonomy places the organism in Eukaryota, Metazoa, Chordata, Mammalia, Artiodactyla, Cervidae. The record is from RefSeq and is a predicted model, not a curated record.
AGUAGAGCUGAAGGGGAGCGGGUGGAACAACGCUGAGGAAGCAGUGGAAGUGCACGUCUCUCUUCCUGUAGGCUUCCUGCAGGGGGUCAAGGCCACGCACUGGGGAAGCGAGGAGACUUAGACCAGAUAGAAGACUGACCUUCUGACACUAGAUCCGACUCAAACAUUAAUAUGUACAAAUGACAGUUUACGACCACCAGAAGGUUACCCGAGAAACCUUUAGGUCACCUGCCAGAGAUUAAACUGGGAACUGGAGACCAGACAGAGCAGGCUAAGAAGGGACUGUGGUCCACCAGGAUCCUCUCCACAUAUCAGCAAACAGGUUUUCCAAAGCCAUGUGCAUGUGAUGUCAGAAACAGGCAACAUGGCAGAAAUAAAAGGUGCUUUGGAGUCCUAAGGACCAUGGAAUAGUGGGCUACCACUACCCUGGGAGAUAGGAAACCGGACUUUUGAUUUCGGUUACUAAUUCUACUACCUUAGCAAGCCACAGCUAUGUCCAACAACAGAACUGGGCCCCUGGCUUCCUGAAAUGUAAUUUCCAACGAAAGAGACAAAUGGUUUCCAUAUAUGCAUAUCUAUCACACCAUGAUGGGUGGUGGUGUUGCUAUGAAGAAAAAUAAGGCUCUGUGCUGUGGCCGUCUGGAUAGAUUAUGCCUCUCUGAGAUCACUCCCUGCCCUCCUAGGCUCUCUGCUUUCCUGAUGCUGGAGAGACAGCCCCUGCUCUGUGUCUGUGCAUCCAGUUCCGACCCAUUCGGCUCAGCUCCACUCGGAAUCUUUCGCAAAGUCUUCCUGAUACUUGACUGUGGUGAAAACCAAACUACGUAAUAACACACACAUGUAAUUUACCCAACUUUUAGCACCCUGUAGGGAUCAUUUAAUUGUCAAAGUUAAAUAAUGUUUAUGUUAAGAAGAUGCCAUUACUAAGUACAUAAACAUAAAUUUACGUAGCUUAGUGUGUUUGUGGGUGUGGGGGAUAAAUAGAGAUAAAAGCGAGACACUAGCUUUUCUACAUUGAAAUUUCCAUAUUUCUAGAUAGUAAAUUAGUUUGAGAAAUAAAAGUCA